UGGGGUUCAAAUUCGAACUUGUAAGAAUCGGUAGUAUUUUCUCAUUGCUUCUUUCUCUUCCAUUCUCUUUAGUGCGGUUGUGUGUAUGCUUAAUGUGUGAGAUUUAAGAAGCAGAAAAGAGCAACGCCAUCAAAAAAGUUAACUAAGCGCCAGGAUCAAUAUGAAGAGAAAUCAUAUUCACAUUUAUCAUGAGAAGAAAAGGAAAAAUAUUGACAAAUCAAGAAGGAAGCUAAAUGAUGCUGCAUUUCACGGCAAAAGUGAUUAUUCCUUGGAUAAAGACUAAAUUAGCAUGAGGAAAGACACAAAGUGAUGCACACCUUGAUUUAAGAAUAGAACCAUG
This 340-nucleotide small RNA is filed under the name Vigna angularis var. angularis. RNAcentral describes it as "Non-protein coding transcript". The record is from RNAcentral. Lineage: Eukaryota; Viridiplantae; Streptophyta; Magnoliopsida; Fabales; Fabaceae.